Molecule: long non-coding RNA, 6367 nt
Organism: Artibeus jamaicensis (Jamaican fruit-eating bat)
Lineage: Eukaryota; Metazoa; Chordata; Mammalia; Chiroptera; Phyllostomidae
Exons: 2
Source: RefSeq, a predicted model, not a curated record
UAGACAGGACUAACUUCCGCAUUCCGCUUCUGUAUCCCGCCUUGCCACGUAGACAAGAAGACCCUAAUCUAUAAAAACCCCAGGAAUCCUUUGUUCAUUGCUCAGAAUUUGGAAAUGACUCCUCUGAGCCCAUGCAUGUAAAAUAAACCUCGUACUCCAAAAUCCCUCGGUGUUUGGUCGCUUCAUUUCCCACAACAUUUGGUUCCCUGACCGGGAAAUCGCGACCUCACACUAAUUCAGGCCUUUUGUCACCGUCUGGAAACGCCGGGAGGCGGCCGCAGGACCAACUGGGGAAAGCGGGGGUGCACGUGCCCUGAGAUUUCUUAGGCCCCGUCCGGUUGGGGCGGCGGCCGCUGACCCGCACAGCCAGGCGGGAAGUGAGAGAUUCUGGACUACGACUUGAUUAAAGGCCUUGAUUGGAGGCGCCAAACUUGAAAAAAAAAAAAAAACGCGCGCCAGCUGGGUCCGCAGGUGCCGGAGCCGAGGAAUCUGACUGGUUGAAACAAAGCAGCACGGAGGCCGCGCCGGCGCCGGUGUUGACGAGAUGAGUAUUCCGUCCCCAGAGUUCUCCCAGUCAGCAAUGCUGGGACCCUCGCUCGCUGAUUGGAAAAGCGCGCACACUUCUCGCGUCCCCGCACCCCCUUUCUCUUCCCCUUAUCGGCACCCCAGGUGGCGGGGCGGGGGCGGGAGGCUGUCUCCUCGGGACAGACGGGAUUGCCGAGGUGCUGGGUAGCUCCUCCGAGCGACCGCUUCCCCCUCCCCAGCCCCGGAGACAGGGUCGGAGGGCGAGAGCCAGGGGCCUGGCGGCUGGGGGGCAGGACAGGCAGUCCCCAGUGUGCAACGGGCUGGUCGAACUGUCUAGCCUAGAGCAGGAGGUUUCCCUGCUAGCGGGAGACCUGGAUUUUCUUUGGGAGUGCUAUACUGUAAACCCCCUCCCCGACCGUGCUGACUUCGGUGGCUGGCGGAGCCCUUCCCCCCAGGCUACUGCUGACUAGGGCGGCAGCCCCGCUGGCUGUUUCCUAGCAACGGGUAGGGUUUCAGCCAGUGGGCGGGGCUGAUGGCAGGCACUGAAGUGAGUUUUCUGCUGCAGCAGCUUGAGGCGUGAGGAAUUUUAAGUUCUGAAAUGUUUGCCAGUGAGGACCUUGUAAUUCGACUGGUCUGGCAAUUGUGAGACGAGCUCAUCAUACUUUAAAAGAGUCUUGAGCCUUUCCCCCCGAGAGUGAUUUAUUGGCCAUUUUAACUCUUAGCUCGGAGAGGGGAGUGUGCUGUUUGCCUUUCUGAAUGACCUUUAGCUCCAGGUUUCUCCAAGCUGUGUGGAAUUCCAACCAGCGCCCCUGGAGUGGUCACCUAAGAGAGACUUUUAAAGAGACUAAAUUAAUGCUGCAAACAAGCAAGAGUGUUUUCAGAUUCUUCAUGCUGAAAGUAACUUUGUAAAGUCUGUGCUAAUUCUUCCAAAAUUGAAAUGUAACCAAACCUGUUACUUUUAUGUAUCCCAUGUGUUUAUAUGAUUUUUCAACUGACUAGAUUUAAGAAUUUGAGCUGUAACAACCCAGAAAUGCCUUAAUUAAUUCCUGUUUGUACUCUAUAAUGUAUAUAGAAAUUGUUCCUUGUAAUUGCAUUCGAGAAUAACAAAUAGCAGAUUUCACAGGCCUAUUUUGAUUUGAUUUUAUAAACAAGAGUAAAGAGAUAUUGCUAACCGCUCUGUGCCGCUGCCCUUAGGGUCUGGGGGCGAGAGACGACCUCUGGAGUGCAAGACUCCCUGGUGGCAGGCACUGCCUUGGGUUUCUCUCCCUGCCCCCCAGAGCUUGGUCGGAAGUCGGUAGCGAGUGGGACUUCCCCCCAGCUUUGACAAAGCCCUGAGUCCCCGUAUAUUCUGGGAGAAGCGCUUUCUGACUUCGAUCUCCUUAGGCCUGAAUGCCUACUAGGGAGAGGUGCAACUCCCGUGCCUUGCUAGAGUUAGGAAAAAUUUGGCGUCACAAAAGCUUGCUAAUGAACCUGUGAAGUCUGCUAGGAGUGCUUUCAUUCAUAUGAUAAGAGUCCGAGGGGUCCUAGUGUGUGAGAAGCUUAGAUAGAGCCGCUGGGACGGCGGAUAGGCUGCCUCUGGAUUGGGAGCAGGCUUGGGACCUCGUUUGCCCCUUUCUCUCUGGUGCCCCUCGGUUGUCCCUGCUCCCCUGCACACUGGCUCGGCCACUGGGGCAUGCUCUGAGCUAAUUCCUGUCAUCUGUCUAUGUAGGGGAGCUGACCUGGGUGCCCUGGCUUCCCAUGACUUUGGCAUGGACUGCCCUGGUUAUAGAUAGGUUCAGGGUUCCCUCCGGGGGCCGGCCGGCUCCGAAGGUCAGCCAUUCUGGGGUACAAAACGUUUCUAGCUGCAGCAGUCAGGUUCUCUGUGUAACUGAUUCUGAUAGGAAUCGCUUUAGUUUUAGAAGUCAUGAAAUGAGAUCCAAGAGUGACCACCUGAUUUAUAGGGUAUGGUAUUUGCAAGGUCUAGGCUUCAGAAGGUUUGAAAGGAAUGUGCCUGCAAAUCUAGAGACUUUUAGUAAAAGAUACCUGAAGUACUAGGGAUUUUUAGCUGCCGCAUACUGAGUUUAAGCAUUGAGUUUAACUACAGCCUUUCCCAGUGUGGGAAAGAAACCAAGAUUAAAAGAAAGUGAUAGUUAAAUCUAAAUGAGCAAAAAUGUGUAUAAAGGAUAUGAAAGUUUUAAACCUAGAGUAAAGGAAACCUCAACUACUUGUUUUCUAAUUUCAUGGAAAAAGCAAAUUUCUCACAUGUAGUUCUGUUUCUAAUCAGAAACCUGUGUUUUAAGACCUAUUGAAGGUCACCUGAAGACCUAAGGAAGGUCACUGUAGCCGGUUGGGGAGAAUGCUUUUGCCACCUGGGACCCAGGAAGGGUCAUUUGGGGCUGAUAAGUGUUUCAGCCUGAGGCAAAGAGCAUGUCUCUGCCAUGAGACCGGAUUGGAAGAGAGCAAGUCUCUGCCAUUGGUUUUGCUUCUGAUCAGAAACCCUGUGUACCUGAAGACCUAGGGAAGGUCACCUGUAGCCGGUUGGGGAGAAUGCCUUUGCCACCCGGGACCCAGGAAGGGUCAAUUGUGGCUGAUGAGUAUAUCAGCCUGAGGCAAAGCAGCAUGUCUCUGCCAUGAGACCAGAUCUGAAGGAGCAUGUCUCUGUGAGGCACCAGUGGACGCAUCGGUGCAAGAGAAUGUCUCUACCUGUAUUGUUUCAGAACUCUGUGUUUCAGGUUUUGCUCUGUAUCUGCUCUGAAAAAGAAACUGAGGAUUCCAGGAAAGGUUAAAACUUCAUACUCUGUAAAAAAAAGUAAACAAAAGAAAAUAUAAGAUAUGAAAAUGAAAAAAUAUAUAAAAGGUUGUAGAAGUUUGCAAAAGUUUGGAAAGGAAUUAUAUAAAGUUAAUAAUAGAAGGUAAAAGGCAUAGAGAUGCAAUCUUAAUAGGUAUCAGAAGAAAAAAAGAUUUUCCAUCAUGCUUUGUAUUUUUCUCCUAACCCCUCCAGAAUUUGGCAUUGUCUGAAGGAAUAAUGACACUAUAAGGUUUCUUUGCAUAAAUUCAAUAAGACCAGCCAUUAAUAGUAGUUUUGUUAACCAGGACUUUGACUGGAAUGUCACGCCUGAAGGAGGCAUAUAGGUUCUGGUCAUUACCGGAAAGCUCAGAGGAACUAGGAUUGACCUGUGAAGCUAGUGAAAGCCCACAAGAAAAGCCUGGUACUUUAGCUAGUUGUGUGGUUCGUGCCAGUCUUUCCAGGGGAGGAAUGAAGGUUGCUUUCCUGAAAGAUGGCUGAAAAGGAACCUGUAAGCACAAUGGACGCUCAAGGAUUUGAGUGAAACAACUGGUACAGGCGAGGCCAGAUGUGUGGCGCUGCUAUGCCCUGAGAGGCAGAUUGAAAAGUCAAUCUAAGAGUUCCCUGGGUAAGUGUAUGAGUUCCAGCAAAGCAGACUUAAGGAUCACAAGUGAUCCAGGCUGCUCUUGGGGUGUUUAUGCAAACGAACAGUCAAAAUUAAAAGCGGGACCCAAAGUAGUCCCUGUAAUAACAGUGAGGGUAAUCUUAAGGAGAAAAAUUAUAGUUCAAGGAAAAUCACAGUGCUCAGCAUUAGACAUCAGAGUGGUACAGCUAACUGUCUUGAAAAUUUGCUCUCAUUUGAAAGUUAAAACCAGGUUUGUGAUGUCACCAAAGAUGUACAAUUUACAGGUGCAAAGGACCUUGUCAAAUUGCCACUGUUAAAUGUCAUUGUAAGAAGGACCUUGCAAUAGAAUGUCUUCCCAAAAGACAGUCUCACGGGCGCAGAGACUGGUUUAGGGAUAGUUAUGCCAAUUAACCUAUGUGUUCUUCUGUUUUCAUAGGGCCUAUGCCUAUGACUUGCCUAUGCCUAUGAGAGAUUAGUUGCAAGAUAGGCCUCACUUAAGGAGCCCAUCUCCAUCAUUACCCCACUAAGACUCAAUGGUUUGGCUGAACUAAGUAGUUGGGUUAGUAAAAGACUGGGGCGGUUUGUGGGCUUCACUUUAGAACUAAUUUUCUCUUUUCUGUCUUGAUAGCUUGGACAGAAAGGGCUCAGAAACCUGAAAGGAGGGAACUCCUAAUCAUUACUGAAGUGCCUGCCAUUGUCUAUUAAUAGUUAUUAUUAAAUUGUACUUCCAAUUUCUUGCCUAAUCUGUCACCUCCAGAACAUGACCUGACCAGAAUGACAGCGGUCCAGUAAUGCCAGCCUCUGGACACCAAGCCUGCGAUGUCCGGGUGACAGCCAACUGACCAGGACCCUGUGAGGUCUUUCCCCUUACAGGAAAGACUCCCUCCGUGCUGCUCCCCUUCAGGGCACCCCAACCCAAGGGUAAAUAAGACAGCGUCCAUUUCCAGCUUGGAAGAAGUUACAAGAAGAUGAGACCUCCGUCCCUUUUCCUUUAUAUAAUUAUGAAAUAGGUAUAAAUCUAAAAGGAAGAAUAUUAAUACAGAGUGCAUCCACAGGGAGCCCCAGAAAAGAUUUAGGAUGAGAUCCAAGGUUCAGGGUAUCCAAGAGAUAUUGAGGUGUACUCACCACUCCCCGGGAGAGGGGGACGAAUAGAGCGGGGCCAGUGAGAGAUGUUGUACAUAGCAACAGGUUUGCAGCUGACCUCUAAGGUAAUUAUUUGACAUAUAGCUUUUAGCUAGUUUCAUAGAUAUAUUGAAUAGUAUGGCCAGACUUAGAGCUAAGGAAAUAAAGUCACUUACCCAGGAUAUGGCUAGGAGCAGAGCCCCUGAGGGGGGGAGGCCUGUGUCAGAGCUUAGAAAAGAUCAACUCCAGGCCAUAAGGGGAUAAACUACCCAGGUGAAAGAGGGCACCGCAUAGUUUAAGGCAGAGUGCCGACCCCUGCAGCUUUGGUGAAGGAGGCCCAUGUGGCUUUGGGGUUCCCCCUUUGGCUGUGUAGCCUAGAGGGCAGGAGAGACUUUGACUGGAACUUAGUACAAAAAAGGACCUCUUGCCAGUGGACUGUGAGGGAGUGCCACAUAACUUUGGAUUGGCCAAAGAUCCUGCCUGAUGCAGCUGAUGAUAACAGCGGCCUGAGACACAGAUGUGUGCUCUUUCCUGGUUUGCAGUGCCCGGAGUUAGAACAAAGCAAGUAGAGAGCAAAGACAUAAAAAUAUUUUAAGUUAAAAAGGAGAAGAAAAAACUUAGUUUCUGACUACUCUUUUGCAAUAAUAAAACUAGAAUUAUAAGUAAUAGCAAGAAAAAUACCUAGUCUUUACACCAUCUGUAUUCUUUUUGUUCUAAAUCUUUGUUUACUUUGUUAGAACCAUGUAAGUAGUUCUACAGAGAAGUGUGUAAUAGUCCAAAAGGGAAAAGAAAGAAACCUCAUUAAUACUCUAAAUCUAAGAAAAGGGGGGACUUGUUUAUUCUUACAAAAAUAUAUAUUAUGCUUAAACAAGCAACCAGUGCUGUUUAGCAUAAAAGGGGGGAAUGAUAUGGGAAACUUUGAAAAACCUCUGUUUAACCUUUAUUUGCCCAGGCCCCAGGCGCCCUGGGGAGAAUGAUGGGGCUGUCUAGGAUAAGUAAACAACAGUGCAUUAGCUAGGACUGAGAUUAACACCCCUGCUUCUGUGUCCUUGGAGCCCUGGAACUGAAUAAUAGGAGCCUUUGAACCCUGCCCCGUAAAUAGAACUAAUUAUCGCAUUCUGCUUCUGCCCCGUAGACACCUGUGUCCUUGAGCCCUGGCUCUGCCCCUAGACAGGACUAACUUCCGCAUUCCGCUUCUGUAUCCCGCCUUGCCACGUAGACAAGAAGACCCUAAUCUAUAAAAACCCCAGGAAUCCUUUGUUCAUUGCUCAGAAUUUGGAAAUGACUCCUCUGAGCCCAUGCAUGUAAAAUAAACCUCGUACUCCAAAAUC